This is a non-coding RNA of Taeniopygia guttata (zebra finch), 758 nucleotides long. The record is from RefSeq and is a predicted model, not a curated record. Lineage: Eukaryota; Metazoa; Chordata; Aves; Passeriformes; Estrildidae.
UAUAGCUGGUAUAUACAGUGUUCAAGAUUCAGUAUUGCAAUCCAUUUUGUCUUUGGCAUGCAUUAACCUAAAGGAAAACAACAUUCUUUUCUCUAGAUACAUCCUUGGACCUCCCUGGAAUUUGUCAGUACCCCCAAGAAAAUGAAGGCUAAUCAUCUGACCAUGCAGGGGUGGAGGAAGAAGACAAACCUAGGGACAUGGUCAGACCAGACAUGGAGGAUAGCUGUGGAGAGGCUUGAAAAGCUUUGUCUUCUGAGCAGCUCAUUCUUCACUUGGGCAGAAUUUACCGAUUGUCCUUACAAGGGGAGACAGUGAGAAACUUCAAAGGAGAGAGACAUCUUGGGACCCUGAAGCUGUUUAUCUUUUGAUUGACGGACUAUAGCCUAAUAAUCCUGGGCAUGCCCUCAGCAAUCUCACCACAGCUGCAGUGCCUUGGAAAAAGAGGAAAAGCUUCAGCAAGCUCAAAGCCAAAAAAAACCCAAGAUAUAUUUGAGUCCUUUUCUUCCUUAGAUAGGUCUUCCAAAUGAAGUCAUUAAUCCCUGGAACAUAUAUCCCAGUUUUUCCAUAGCAUGUUGUCGUGCUUUACAUACCAAGCAUCCCAAACACCACACAAACACCUGCCUAGGGAUAAGCAGAGCCCUUAGAGUUACCUCCUGUUAGUAGAGGUGUGUUCUUGACUCAGUGACUGCAGCACAUAUGACAGGUAAGUCCAAAAGCAUCACAUCAUUAUCAUUCCUUAUUAAAGCAAUGAGACUGCA